UUUCUAUGGAGAGUUUGAUCCUGGCUCAGGACGAACGCUGGCGGCGUGCCUAAUACAUGCAAGUCGAGCGGAUCGAAUAGAAGCUUGCUUCUAUUUGGUUAGCGGCGGACGGGUGAGUAACACGUGGGCAACCUGCCCUGUAGACGGGGAUAACACCGAGAAAUCGGUGCUAAUACCGGAUAACACG
RNAcentral lists this ribosomal RNA (187 nucleotides) under Anoxybacillus suryakundensis. RNAcentral describes it as "16S rRNA. Bacterial SSU". It matches the Rfam family "Bacterial small subunit ribosomal RNA", at positions 1 to 180 of the family's 1533-position model. The record is from RNAcentral. Lineage: Bacteria; Bacillati; Bacillota; Bacilli; Caryophanales; Anoxybacillaceae.